This 501-nucleotide ribosomal RNA is filed under the name uncultured bacterium. RNAcentral's name for it is "partial 16S ribosomal RNA". It matches the Rfam family "Bacterial small subunit ribosomal RNA", at positions 30 to 523 of the family's 1533-position model. The record is from RNAcentral.
AUUGAACGCUGGCGGCAGGCUUAACACAUGCAAGUCGAGCGGAGCGAGGGUGCUUGCACCUUAGCUUAGCGGCGGACGGGUGAGUAAUGCUUAGGAAUCUGCCUAUUAGUGGGGGACAACAUUCCGAAAGGAAUGCUAAUACCGCAUACGCCCUACGGGGGAAAGCAGGGGAUCUGCGGACCUUGCGCUAAUAGAUGAGCCUAAGUCGGAGUAGCUAGUUGGUGGGGUAAAGGCCUACCAAGGCGACGAUCUGUAGCGGGUCUGAGAGGAUGAUCCGCCACACUGGGACUGAGACACGGCCCAGACUCCUACGGGAGGCAGCAGUGGGGAAUAUUGGACGAUGGGCGGAAGCCUGAUCCAGCCAUGCCGCGUGUGUGAAGAAGGCCUUUUGGUUGUAAAGCACUUUAAGCGGGGAGGAGGCUACUUAGAUUAAUACUCUGGGAUAGUGGACGUUACUCGCAGAAUAAGCACCGGCUAACUCUGUGCCAGCCGCCGCAGUAA